CCUCCCCUUCCUUACUCCAGCCACUCUGACUCGGUGAUGUGGUCUGGCAUUGAUGGGGAGAUAUGAACCGCUCCACUGCACACUUUCACUGUCAGUCAGUGCAGGAUUAGCGGUGGAGCGAACAUG
Neoarius graeffei (lesser salmon catfish) is the source of this 126-nucleotide small nucleolar RNA. RefSeq annotates it as small nucleolar RNA SNORA49. The record is from RefSeq and is a predicted model, not a curated record. Lineage: Eukaryota; Metazoa; Chordata; Actinopteri; Siluriformes; Ariidae. The transcript has a single exon.